This 787-nucleotide ribosomal RNA is filed under the name Trechispora latehypha. Its description in RNAcentral is "Trechispora sp. SLL-2022g partial small subunit ribosomal RNA". It matches the Rfam family "Bacterial small subunit ribosomal RNA", at positions 443 to 941 of the family's 1533-position model. The record is from RNAcentral. Lineage: Eukaryota; Fungi; Basidiomycota; Agaricomycetes; Trechisporales; Hydnodontaceae.
GCAUAAAGGAUUGGAAAAUAAUGAUAGUACUUUCCUAUUAGUGUUGUCAAAAUACUGGUGCCAGAAGACUCGGUAAGGCCAGAAACGCGAACGUUAGUAGUCUUAAUCAGGCGUAAAGGGUUCGUAGACUUCUUCGGGUUAUUUAUUUGCACCUUAAUUUUCAAUUGUCUUUAAAAUUUAAUGUAUAUAUUAUCUGCGUCUCUUAUUUAUAUUUAUAAAUAAAAAAUACAUUAUAGUCACUUGCUCUCGUUUUGCGCUAACUUAUUUAUAUUAAACUCUCUAUUUUUAUAUUUUGCCUAAUAAAAGAUAAGAGCAAAACAAAAUUUUAAAGAAAAAAUUAAGAAAAGUAAAAAUAUAAUGUGUUAUUCUAAGCAGCUGUAUUCUGUGAAGAACUAAUACAUUAUAUUUUACUUUUAAAAAUUCGGCAUAAUAGCAAAAGCGAAGAUAGAAUCUUAUGCGAGGUGCUUCGACAAAUGCUCUAAGGAAGGAUGAAAUCUAUAAAUAUAGAGUGGAAGACUAAGGGCGAAAGCUAUUCACCUAGUAAAGAUUGACGUUGAGGAACGUAGGUUAGGAUCGAAAAAAGGAUUAGAUACCCAAGUAUUCCUAUCUGUUAACGAUGAAUGGUUAGUUAUUCAGUUAAAUAUAUUUUAAUUUCGUAAAUUAUUAAUAAUAUAACUAAAAUAAAACUGGGAAGCGUAGCUAACGCGAUUACCAUUCCGCCUUGUGAGUACGACUGCAAAGUUGAAAACAAAAAAUUAGUCGGUUUCGGAGCAAACGAAGUGAGGCA